This 1231-nucleotide long non-coding RNA is filed under the name Anser cygnoides (Swan goose). RNAcentral's name for it is "lncRNA (ENSACDG00005010797.1)". Lineage: Eukaryota; Metazoa; Chordata; Aves; Anseriformes; Anatidae. The record is from RNAcentral.
AUGUUUCUUAUUUUACUUUUAAUGCAGUGGUUUAGUGAUUUUAUAUUAUCUGUGGCACCUUCAUGCCUAUACUUUGAACAACCUAACAGAUUUUUUUUUUCCUUACAGGUUUUAGCUGUAAUGUUUGGUUUAUCUACCCACUAUUUUAAAGGUGCUAAGGAUUUGAGUCUGAGCACUGAGAAGUUUACGGUGGGUGUUGUACCAAAUGCAGAUCAUCUGUACAUCCCUUACUUAAUGAGCUCCUUGCUGUUCAGAAGCCUCAGGCCUUGGUGGAACCUGCAUCUUUCCUUUUCACCGCUGGGAGAUCACACUUGUUUCAGCUCUCAAAAGUAAAAAUGUUUUUGUUUAACUCCGUUUGUUGGCCUUAGCAUAAACUAUCCGGGUAAAACUUAAUGGGUUGCAAAUGCAGGAAGCUGGAAUGCAUGAUAUAAAGGUCUCAACUGGUCUUAAAACUUGCAGACUGUCUUGCAGUUAUAUGUCUAGUCCCUCUUAGAAAUGUGUUUCUCUUGUGUAUUUAUGUGAUACCUCAAUUAUUUUAUUAAAAGGAAGAAGAAAUUGUAAUACACUGCAUGUGAAAGCUGUGAAAAUAUUGGUAAUAUUAAGAGUUUCAAAGAACUUUUUAAUUCAUUCUUUAGGACACAAACUAAAUCUGUCAGCAACUUAAUAGCCAUCCUGCUUUCACAUUAUGUCAUCCCAUACGGCACAUGAAUUAUAUAUUUGCAUUAUGCAACUCUAACAUAUAAUAUUUAUACAAUCUGUUUCCCCCAUUGGUUACUUAGUUUUAUAGUCCCCUAUUUAAAUUAAAUUUAGCUGUUAAAUACAUGUUACUGAAUUUCUUACUAUCACUUCAUCUGUGGCAUGGAAAAACAAUAAUGGAUCUUUUUUAAAAAACAACAAAUAUAUACAAAAAAAGAAAAACUUAAACAGGAAGCUCACUACCUGUUUAGGAAUCUAAAACACUCCCUGCUCCAAAGCCAAAAUAUUAAUAUUCAUAGCUCUUACAGGUAAGAUUUUUGUCAGUAGGCUGUGUUUGCCCACAUUGAUUAAGCCCCUUCCUCAAUACCAUACAUUUUGAAUUUGUUUGUACUUAUUAAACUCUUUCCCCCGUAUCAUACAUAUAGAGUUUGCCCAUAUUUAUUAAACACUUUCCACAAUACCAUAUAUUUUGAGUAAAAAAGAUUUAAAUGUGACUUUUAAAUAAAAAAUGAAUGCAUGGAUUAAAAUGUAUGCA